Lingula anatina is the source of this 1183-nucleotide long non-coding RNA. RefSeq lists it as uncharacterized. The record is from RefSeq and is a predicted model, not a curated record. NCBI's taxonomy places the organism in Eukaryota, Metazoa, Brachiopoda, Lingulata, Lingulida, Lingulidae.
UUUAAAUCUCGUUUGUCAGAAUAGAUGCCUUCGUCUGUCGUUUGGAGAGGACACAAACAGAAACGCAGUCAAAAGUUUCUUAAAAUGAGAGAAUUACAGAAUUUAUAUGAUAUUACGUUGGACAAGGUUUUCAAAAAACAGAUAUGGGAGAAGGCUGCAUUGAAUACAUGAAUUAUGGUCAGGCUGGAAAAAAUUUAAAAAUGUCAAUGAAAAAAGGAGGUCAGCGUGUCUGGGGUUUCUCUCUUUUCUGAGUGGCAUGACAUUGGCAAGGCAGAAGAAAAGGCCCUGAAGAAAUUCUCACUUGAGUUGUCCUUUUUGGAGAAGAAACUGGAUAAGACUGGCCAACAGAGAUUGCAUUAAAUUAAUAGUGCUCCUUCAUGACAUUUUAAAAUAUUUUCAGUCACCUAACUGACUCUAUACAUUUCAAAAGUUGACAUAAAUUUUAUGUUACUGUCACGUGGAAAAAAAUUAAAAACCUAUAUAUAAUUUGUUGAGUGCAAUGGUAUAACAGUCUACUUGAUUGCCAGUAAAAUUUGGACUGUUUCAGUGAAAUUUCUUUAAAGCAGUCACAUACUGGCCAAGUUAAUUUUUUCAGCUGUAACAUGUACUCCAGUUCAUUUUAUAAAUGUUCUUACUAAGUGUUGUCUUGAUUCAUUAUAACCUUUUGAAAAUCCCAUGUUUUUUAUCCUAUUUGUAAGAAUUAGCCACUUUAUCUUCUAGGUUUUUUUUUUUUUUCAUUCGGCCCAUUAGAUUCUCAGACCUUGCUGGCCUGUGAGUAGAAUAGUAUCUGGCACAGACUGGUAUCAGCAAGUCAGAUAAAAAAGAAUAUAAUUAUUUCUAUUUGCACGGUUGAAAAAAAUUCCAACACAGACUGCAUAAAACUUGGAAAACUAUAUCAACUUAAUCAUUCUUAUGACUUCAUUAAUUACUGCUUAUGUGUAAAAUUUUGUUUUUGUUCUUCUAUUGAUAGAAUAAAAUGGUUUUACUCACAGAUGCUACUAUCAUGAUGCUUGAGUAUAGAGUUGACUUAAAAGAUAUUUUAAGUUAAUAUAGUAAAUAAUAGUUUGAAAUUCAAAAUUCUCAUCUUUGUUUCACCUUAAAGAGCUCAGUUAAUACUAACAUUUCUGAUAUAUUUUGUACAUAAAUAUAUUUAUGAAUGAAUAAAAAUUAUUCUUAAUGUUUA